This 597-nucleotide long non-coding RNA is filed under the name Gossypium barbadense (sea-island cotton). Its description in RNAcentral is "long non-coding RNA (GBAR_LNC003693)". Lineage: Eukaryota; Viridiplantae; Streptophyta; Magnoliopsida; Malvales; Malvaceae. The record is from RNAcentral.
CACCUAAUAAACAGUAACCAAAACCGCCAAAAGCAUAUUCAAUUUCUUCAGAGAUUAAAAAAAAAACCAACAGAACAUCUAUUUUUAACUUCUAAAUUUUAGAGUCUCGUACAUGAGAGCAACCGUGACCAUCAUAGACGCCAAAAUAGUGGAAGCCAAUGGCGGCAGAGUCCUGGCCUUGACGAUGGAAAGACGGAUGAAUAGCGACGGCGUCUUCCAUGUCUCUUCUCCUACCACAAACCGAAGCAACACCGAAUUUAGGAUGUAACUCUGAAUCGAUUUCAGGUAUCAAAAGCGAGGGACUCGAGUUACUUUUCACUAUUGUUCCUUUUGUUUUUAGUCUUCCAUUUUUAGGUUUAACAGUUCGCUUUUUUCCGUCCUCAUAGGAGGCACAAUUUUCUACAGCGUUUUCACAGUCCAGAGAAAAUGAUGCUCCGUAACCUUGCAGGUUCUUGCGUUUCCGGCCAUUCUCAGCUUCAGAUGGAGCCACGUCGACGAUUUUAAUUCGUCUAAUCUCCAUCCUACGCCUCCUUGCUGCACGUGAACUCGGCUCGCGCGGUAUUGAUGCUUCGCCUUCGCUCACAACUCCGUAACAGA